Betta splendens (Siamese fighting fish) is the source of this 1781-nucleotide long non-coding RNA. RefSeq lists it as uncharacterized. The record is from RefSeq and is a predicted model, not a curated record. NCBI's taxonomy places the organism in Eukaryota, Metazoa, Chordata, Actinopteri, Anabantiformes, Osphronemidae. The transcript is spliced from 2 exons.
UGGAAUCAAGGCGCCUCCGGGGUCACGGGCGCGAGGACUCCCCAGGAGGUGAUCGCUCUCUGCAGGUUUGUUUGUUGUGCCUCCUCUGAAACGACGCCAUCAGAUCCCACUGUGCAUCAAAUCGCCUGCUGUCUUAUUUUAAAACCCCAAUUUCCUAUUGUUUACCGUCGCAUCAGCGCCAUCAAAGCCUGUACCAGAGACUCAGAACCAAUUUCUUUAGAAAUCCGUCCCGCUUUAAUAAAGUCAAAUAGAAAAAUAAGAUGGGAGGCAAAGCGUAGGUAUGAAAUUAUGAGAAAUAAGAAGAAGGAGACAAUUACAUCCCACUGCUCCAAGUAAAAGACUAGUUCAGCUGCAGUUUGGAGACAUCCACCCACUGAAUAUAUAUAUUUAAAUCAUUUAUGUCAAACACAACUCACACUUGUCAUUCUGCUGCAAACUUGCAUCAACAACCAUCAAACGAACGUGCUGCUUUGUUCUGUCACAGUGAAAUAACAUUUAGUGCGUGACUCUUUCCAGUAGCGGCGGAAGCAGAGCUGUGACUCAGACCUGGUCUCACCUCAUCCUCAGUCACAGGCAGCUUCCAGUGCUGCUGGUUCCACGGCCUCGUUCUGCAGCGUCAGCAGGUUUCACGUCCAGCGCAGACGGAACCCGGACGAGGUUCUGUAAAUGAGGAGGGACGAGACGUGCGCUCCUGCGUUGCCUCAUGUUGGCAGCCUGUUGCGUGAUGCUGCGUUCAGUGACACCAGCGCACUCACUCACUCACUGACUACAGGUUGCAGCAGCAGUCGUCAUCUGCGCCGCCUAAUGAGGUUCAGCGCCUCCUCUGACGCCACCACACUCUGUCGAGAAACGAAGGAUGGUAACGAGAGCGGGGUCAAAGAUGCGUCGACAGCGAGGAGAUAGUGAGUAAUAGAAGCAUAAACAACGUGAGCGCAGAGAGACAGGCGGUUUCUGCUGCUGCAGGAGAUAAGACCCAGGUCUGCAGAUAAGUCUGGAGCCUGAGCUUCUGUCUGCACUGGAACAGAGUCCAGGAGGCAGAAACCGUCUCUGUGGAACAGAAGAACCCCGCGUCAGCGUCAGCGACGGAACCAUGAGGGCUGUUUGUCUGACUCAGCACAGACGAGGUUCAUUAACAUCGCGCAGAGAAAAGCCUUUUGAAGUCACAAUGAUAUUUUCUCAUUUCCAAACUUAACUUCGAGACUGCGUUUGUGUGUUACCAAUAUUUGACUUCUACAGGAGAUUAAAAUAAGUUAUUUUAAGUCAAAGUGCUGCAGUAACAUUUGUGUUACAAUAAUUAAACUAGUUAAUGACAACCCUCCCUGCAGACCUGACAUUUAGAACUGUUUGAAUGCUGUAAUGUAAACGUAACUAUUAUCUGGACUUAAUUCAAGGUGGACGACGAGCUGUUUGUGGUCACGUGUCCUCCAACACCAACGUUAGAGCUGGAAACGGAGGUCCUGACGCUCGGCGCUUCUUUAAGGAGCGUUUGUCAGCGGGCGUUUGAUCGGCCGUGAAGCCGCUGUAGAGGUCAAUGGGUCAAUGCAAACAGUGGGAUGAACAGGAUGAAGUCAGUCUGGUUCCGCCCAGAACCUUCUCCACCGCUCAGUUCUCUGCAUUUGCUGUAAGCGAACAAAGUGCCUGUGAUUUUGACUGUAAUUAUUUAAUCAGCUGUGCAAUAGUUGCAAUUACAGGAAGCGAUGAGCUGCUUGAAUGCAUAAAGAUCCUGCUGCUAAUUGUGCAGACAAAGACUCAGCAGUCAUUAAAGGUUCUAUCUCACACCA